UGCCGACGAUGUGAUAUGAGAUGUUGUAUUACAUUAUAGAAAUUAGAGUUUUUUGGCUCUGGGGAUAGUAUGAUCGCAAGAUUGAAAAUUAAAGAAAUUGACGGAAGAAUACCACAAGGAGUGGAUUGUGCGGCUUAAUUUGACUCAACGCGAGGUAACUUACCAAUAUUUUAUUGUUCUGCGAGGAUAUGAUCUGAGGAUGAUAAUAGUGGUGCAUGGCCGUUUCAAUGGAUGCUGUGA
RNAcentral lists this ribosomal RNA (240 nucleotides) under Vairimorpha apis. RNAcentral describes it as "Nosema apis partial 16S ribosomal RNA". It matches the Rfam family "Microsporidia small subunit ribosomal RNA", at positions 693 to 930 of the family's 1311-position model. Lineage: Eukaryota; Fungi; Microsporidia; Nosematidae. The record is from RNAcentral.